CUCGUCAUGCUGACCCAGCACACCUCAUAGACCCCUUGAGGACUGUCAAGUACCAGAUUAACGACCGUCUCUUCACAGGAAGCAUCAUAAUCAGAGGUUCCUGCAACUUAUCCUUUUGUCUUUCUAUGCCCCUUGGCAGUCAUUAUCCUACCUGACCGUUUUAUCUCUUUUUUUCGGUUUAGGCAUUUCAUGCAUUGCUUUUCUUUUUCUUUUUUUCUUUUUUUUUUUUUUUUUUUUUUUUU
This 242-nucleotide long non-coding RNA is filed under the name Lathyrus oleraceus (garden pea). RNAcentral's name for it is "Pisum sativum (pea) long non-coding RNA (PSAT_LNC034482)". Lineage: Eukaryota; Viridiplantae; Streptophyta; Magnoliopsida; Fabales; Fabaceae. The record is from RNAcentral.